This 27-nucleotide non-coding RNA is filed under the name Mus musculus (house mouse). The record is from RNAcentral. Lineage: Eukaryota; Metazoa; Chordata; Mammalia; Rodentia; Muridae.
UGAAUGCCAGUGAGAUUCAGCUUCUCC